RNAcentral lists this ribosomal RNA (429 nucleotides) under uncultured archaeon. RNAcentral describes it as "bacterial SSU rRNA". It matches the Rfam family "Archaeal small subunit ribosomal RNA", at positions 474 to 903 of the family's 1478-position model. The record is from RNAcentral.
UACCAGCACCCCGAGUGGUCGGGACGAUUAUUAGGCCUAAAGCAUCCGUAGCCGGUUCUCUAAGUCCUCCGUUAAAUCCAUCUGCUUAACAGAUGGGCUGCGGAGGAUACUAUAGAGCUAGGAGGCGGGAGAGGCAAGCGGUACUCAGUGGGUAGGGGUAAAAUCCGUUGAUCCAUUGAAGACCACCAGUGGCGAAGGCGGCUUGCCAGAACGCGCUCGACGGUGAGGGAUGAAAGCUGGGGGAGCAAACCGGAUUAGAUACCCGGGUAGUCCCAGCUGUAAACGAUGCAGACUCGGUGAUGAAUAGGCUUAGUGCCUAUUCAGUGCCGCAGGGAAGCCAUUAAGUCUGCCGCCUGGGGAUACGGUCGCAAGACUGAAACUUAAAGGAAUUGGCGGGGGAGCGACCACAAGGGGUGAAGCCUGCGGUUC